RNAcentral lists this ribosomal RNA (276 nucleotides) under Ruminococcus callidus. Its description in RNAcentral is "partial 16S ribosomal RNA". It matches the Rfam family "Bacterial small subunit ribosomal RNA", at positions 502 to 776 of the family's 1533-position model. Lineage: Bacteria; Bacillati; Bacillota; Clostridia; Eubacteriales; Oscillospiraceae. The record is from RNAcentral.
UAUGUAUUUGGCGGCCGCGGUAAUACGUAGGGAGCAAGCGUUGUCCGGAUUUACUGGGUGUAAAGGGAGCGUAGGCGGGAUGGCAAGUCAGAUGUGAAAACUAUGGGCUCAACCCAUAGACUGCAUUUGAAACUGUUGUUCUUGAGUGAGGUAGAGGUAAGCGGAAUUCCUGGUGUAGCGGUGAAAUGCGUAGAGAUCAGGAGGAACAUCGGUGGCGAAGGCGGCUUACUGGGCCUUUACUGACGCUGAGGCUCGAAAGCGUGGGGAGCAAACAGG